UUUCUUUUCUUCUAAACUGGAAAAAACAACAACUUCCAUAUUUACUGUGUUCUGCAUCUUCACCUCGCCAAAUCCAUCUUUAUAUUCGGCGGAAGACCUCGCGGCGACACCCGUCACGUGCAUGCCCUAUAGGUGUUGAAGAGACAAGUCAUACAGGUGUUGAAAAUUCAUCAACCCUUUAUUUUUUUUCUCUAUUAAUCUUUAAAAAGAAAACACAAUCUAUUAUAUAUGCAAGCAAAGCCACUUAAAUUGCUACUAUAUAUGCUUUAUUAUUCUAUAAUCCUUUAAAAAGGAGGUUGUCCCAGAUAGUGUCUUUAUUAUCAUAUAUAGUUAAGUUAUAGGUUUAUUGGGUUGAUAUAUAUAUGACAAUAAGUGGAGGAGAGUUUUCCUAGUCUGAGACAACUUAUUAUACAGUAAUCAGAUUAAACCAUUAAUAAAGCUUUUCAAUCGUUGUUUUCUUAAAUCAAAAUCUUGUCAGUUUGCAAUAACAAUGAAGUUUGAACCUACGUGCGGGAAUAGAUAUCUUUUACUUUUUGGACAUUAAAAUUUUCCAAUUUCCAGACUUUGAUUGAUUUAUUUUGUAAUUUGUAGCAUAAAGAUUGUUGGAAAGAUGAGCUUACUUCCACUAAGAAUGAAAGACAACAAUCAUGUACAACUUUUAUAUGGAGUGGUCAAAAGCAGAAACAAAGGCAACAUAAAAAAUAAUGGAGAUCCUCCAUGGGGUUGCAUGGCAUGGCAUCCAGUUCCACACCAUCUU
RNAcentral lists this long non-coding RNA (757 nucleotides) under Gossypium barbadense (sea-island cotton). RNAcentral's name for it is "long non-coding RNA (GBAR_LNC021495)". Lineage: Eukaryota; Viridiplantae; Streptophyta; Magnoliopsida; Malvales; Malvaceae. The record is from RNAcentral.